CCUACGGGUGGCAGCAGUGAGGAAUAUUGGUCAAUGGCCGCAAGGCUGAACCAGCCAAGCCGCGUGAAGGAAGAAGGUGCCAAGCAUUGUAAACUUCUUUUGUCAAGGGGCAAAAUCAGACUCGAGAGCCUGACCGAGGGUACUUGAAGAACAAGCAUCGGCUAACUCCGUGCCAGCAGCCGCGGUAAUACGGAGGAUGCGAGCGUUAUCCGGAUUUAUUGGGUUUAAAGGGUGCUUAGGCGGACUGUUAAGUCAGCGGUAAAAGCCCGGGGUUCAACCCCGGCGUGCCGUUGAUACUGGUUGGCUUGAGAUGUGGAGAGGUAGGCGGAAUGUGGAGUGUAGCGGUGAAAUGCUUAGAUAUUGCGCAGAACUCCGAUUGCGAAGGCAGCAUACCGGCGGCGAUCUGACGCUGAGGCACGAAAGCGUGGGUAUCGAACAGGAUUAGAUACCCUAGUAGUC
Molecule: ribosomal RNA, 459 nt
Filed under: uncultured bacterium
Lineage: Bacteria
Description: partial 16S ribosomal RNA
Rfam family: Bacterial small subunit ribosomal RNA
Source: RNAcentral